RNAcentral lists this ribosomal RNA (207 nucleotides) under uncultured bacterium. RNAcentral describes it as "partial 16S ribosomal RNA". It matches the Rfam family "Bacterial small subunit ribosomal RNA", at positions 568 to 774 of the family's 1533-position model. The record is from RNAcentral.
CACGUAGGCGGCUAUCCAAGUCGGGGGUGAAAGCCCGGGGCUCAACCCCGGAACUGCCCUCGAAACUAGGUAGCUAGAAUCUUGGAGAGGUCAGUGGAAUUCCGAGUGUAGAGGUGAAAUUCGUAGAUAUUCGGAAGAACACCAGUGGCGAAGGCGACUGACUGGACAAGUAUUGACGCUGAGGUGCGAAAGCGUGGGGAGCAAACA